UACGUAGGGCGCAAGCGUUGUCCGGAAUUAUUGGGCGUAAAGAGCUCGUAGGCGGUUCGUCACGUCGGCUGUGAAAACCUGAGGCUCAACCUCAGGCCUGCAGUCGAUACGGGCGGACUUGAGUACUGCAGGGGAGACUGGAAUUCCUGGUGUAGCGGUGAAAUGCGCAGAUAUCAGGAGGAACACCGGUGGCGAAGGCGGCGACCUGGGACAAUACUGACGCUGAGGUGCGAAAGCGUGGGGAGCAAACAGG
Molecule: ribosomal RNA, 253 nt
Filed under: uncultured bacterium
Lineage: Bacteria
Description: partial 16S ribosomal RNA
Rfam family: Bacterial small subunit ribosomal RNA
Source: RNAcentral